CAUUGAUUUCAGUUUGCUAUACCCAAACAUGCAAAACUUGCUUUUUCUCAAUGGGAUAACUUUAAAUCAAAGAUUUUCGGUUAUUAUAUGGAAAACAUAACAAAUGAGUACUGCAAGAAGCUGCUAACUCAAAUUUGCGAGACUUCCCACGUUGACACGAAGGAUUAUCUUUACACAAUUCUUCUCAAUGCUGUCCUUCCAACGACUUGUCGUUUUUCGGAUCAUAUGGG
Non-coding RNA from Drosophila suzukii, 230 nucleotides. The record is from RefSeq and is a predicted model, not a curated record. Lineage: Eukaryota; Metazoa; Arthropoda; Insecta; Diptera; Drosophilidae.